AGUGAACGCUGGCGGUAGGCCUAACACAUGCAAGUCGAACGGCAGCACAGGAGAGCUUGCUCUCUGGGUGGCGAGUGGCGGACGGGUGAGGAAUACAUCGGAAUCUACUCUGUCGUGGGGGAUAACGUAGGGAAACUUACGCUAAUACCGCAUACGACCUACGGGUGAAAGCAGGGGACCUUCGGGCCUUGCGCGAUUGAAUGAGCCGAUGUCGGAUUAGCUAGUUGGCGGGGUAAAGGCCCACCAAGGCGACGAUCCGUAGCUGGUCUGAGAGGAUGAUCAGCCACACUGGAACUGAGACACGGUCCAGACUCCUACGGGAGGCAGCAGUGGGGAAUAUUGGACAAUGGGCGCAAGCCUGAUCCAGCCAUACCGCGUGGGUGAAGAAGGCCUUCGGGUUGUAAAGCCCUUUUGUUGGGAAAGAAAUCCAGCUGGCUAAUACCCGGUUGGGAUGACGGUACCGGAAGAAUAAGGACCGGCUAACUACGUGCCAGCAGCCGCCGUAA
Molecule: ribosomal RNA, 506 nt
Filed under: uncultured bacterium
Lineage: Bacteria
Description: partial 16S ribosomal RNA
Rfam family: Bacterial small subunit ribosomal RNA
Source: RNAcentral